UGAGCUUUGCAUUAGAGAUGUC
This 22-nucleotide non-coding RNA is filed under the name Arabidopsis thaliana (thale cress). Lineage: Eukaryota; Viridiplantae; Streptophyta; Magnoliopsida; Brassicales; Brassicaceae. The record is from RNAcentral.